RNAcentral lists this ribosomal RNA (253 nucleotides) under uncultured bacterium. RNAcentral describes it as "partial 16S ribosomal RNA". It matches the Rfam family "Bacterial small subunit ribosomal RNA", at positions 524 to 776 of the family's 1533-position model. The record is from RNAcentral.
UACAUAUGGGGCAAACGUUAUUCGGAAUCACUGGGCUUAAAGGGCGCGUAGGCGGGCAUCCAAGUCUGUGGUGAAAUCCGGCAGCUUAACUGUCGAACUGCCGUGGAUACUGGGUGUCUCGAGGGAGGUAGGGGCGUGCGGAACUAUUGGUGGAGCGGUGAAAUGCGUUGAUAUCAAUAGGAACUCCGGUGGCGAAGGCGGCACGCUGGACCUCUUCUGACGCUGAGGCGCGAAAGCCAGGGGAGCAAACGGG